AUGAGUAGAAGUAGCCCCCAAACACUACCUUAUUGGAGAGAAAAGAGAAAUCCAAAGAGAAAGAGAGAGCAAAGAAAAGUUAAUAAGCUCCCUGAGUGCAGCACCUAUUCAAUUAUUCAAUAUAUCUUAUUCAUCUGUAUUUUCUCAGAGCACCUAGGAAACAGGAGAUUCUUGGUGAUUAUUAUAAAACAGAAUCAGAAUGAUUAUGCAACCAUAGAGAAAAAUUCAAGAAAACCUUGGAAAUACAGGAGGUUUCUGUGUUUCCCUUGGAGCUUGACUUUGGACUUGAUCAACUAUCUGAGGGGAGUGCAGUCAAAAGAACAUCACAAUUUAGAAUCUCUAAAGGCGAAGAGUCAAGGCUCACUGAUUCUUGAACCUACAAUGGAAAAACAGCAUAUUCCUUGCUUUUUCAUCCAGAAAAAAAAUGUCUUCAAGGGGAUAAAGAGAGAGAGAAUCUAUAAUGUGCAUGGUGCAAACAGGAACAGAUCCAUACGCAUUUUGUAUGUAAUGCUUGUAAUAUACCACCUGAAGAGAGCAUGAUGAUAAUAAUUACAAAGAAGAAGAAAGCAAUGUAAUAUAGUACAGUAAGAUAAAACUUUUUCAGUGCCAGAUUUCUCACUUCUCUUCUCUGAAACUCAACACUUACAAUGCUCAAUAAAACUCAGAAGAUUACUCA
RNAcentral lists this long non-coding RNA (676 nucleotides) under Oryctolagus cuniculus (rabbit). RNAcentral describes it as "lncRNA (ENSOCUG00000030175.1)". The record is from RNAcentral. Lineage: Eukaryota; Metazoa; Chordata; Mammalia; Lagomorpha; Leporidae.